Molecule: ribosomal RNA, 663 nt
Filed under: uncultured bacterium
Lineage: Bacteria
Description: bacterial SSU rRNA
Rfam family: Bacterial small subunit ribosomal RNA
Source: RNAcentral
UAGUGGCGAACGGGUGAGUAACGCGUGAGGAACCUGCCUUUCAGUGGGGGACAACAGUUGGAAACGACUGCUAAUACCGCAUAAUACUUUCGAACGGCAUCGUUUGAAAGUCAAAGAUUUAUUGCUGAAAGAUGGCCUCACGUCUGAUUAGCUAGUUGGUGGGGUAACGGCCCACCAAGGCGACGAUCAGUAGCCGGUCUGAGAGGAUGAACGGCCACAUUGGGACUGAGAUACGGCCCAGACUCCUACGGGAGGCAGCAGUGGGGAAUAUUGGGCAAUGGGGGAAACCCUGACCCAGCAACGCCGCGUGAAGGAAGAAGGCCUUCGGGUUGUAAACUUCUUUUACCAGGGACGAAAGAAAUGACGGUACCUGGAGAAAAAGCAACGGCUAACUACGUGCCAGCAGCCGCGGUAAUACGUAGGUUGCGAGCGUUGUCCGGAUUUACUGGGUGUAAAGGGCGUGUAGGCGGAGAUGCAAGUUGGGAGUGAAAUCCCGGGGCUCAACCCCGGAACUGCUUUCAAAACUGUAUCCCUUGAGUGUCGGAGAGGCAAGCGGAAUUCCUAGUGUAGCGGUGAAAUGCGUAGAUAUUAGGAGGAACACCAGUGGCGAAGGCGGCUUGCUGGACGAUACUGACGCUGAGGCGCGAAAGCGUGGGGAGCAAA